CCCUCACCUGGCGCGGGCAGCGGCGAAGGCGCUGCGAGUAGGGGCUGGAGGACCUCUAGCGGAGUCAAGGAGGCGCGUGCCCCCAGAGCCGGUAACAGCUCGCGGGGGCGGCGCGGGGGCGUGGAAGGGGCGGUCCCAGAGGACAGAGCGGGGCGGGGCCUCCCGAAGGAGCGUGACGUGGCUACUCACCGGCUCUUGCCCUCGCCAGGCCGCCGCCUGCGGUGGUUGACUGACGAGUUCGUCCGGGUGCCGCCCGGCCUAAGGGCCGGCCCCGCCCCAGCGGCCCGCCGAAGGGGAGGGAGGGCGAACUGGACGAUUCCGCAGCUCGCGGGCUACGGCGGCCCGGACUGCGGGAGCGGGGGCGGGGCGCUCACGGGGCCUCUGUGACUCGCCGCGCAGUGGCGCUGCGCUCUGCCGGGUGCGGGCAAGGGGCGGGCCGGGCUACGCACGUGGCGCCUGACAGAGGCUGCCCACAUACCUUGGCCGGAGGUCCCUUCCUGCAUCUUCAAGGCCAGCAAUGAAGCUACCAGAGGAUGUGCUGCUUCUAAACUACAAAGAAAACCAAGAAAAAGGAAAUCAGAGAAAUCAGAAAACAGGACAUUCAACACAAGAGAAGAACUACUAGUACUAGAGGAAAGAAGGCUGGAGAGAAUUGGGAGAGGUUCAAUAUUCACUUGCUACUGAAAAACAGCGCUGGACUAUUCCAUAGAUGCUCAUGCCAUCUGAGAGAAGAAAGUGGAGUGAAAAAGCAAGUUUUACAAACCCUGAGAGAGAGCACACACAGGGGAACAGCAGAGAGAGAGGGAGAAGCAGCCUCCCUGCUGAGCAGAGAGCCCGAUGCGGGACUCGAUCCCAGGACCCUGAGAUCAUGACCUGAGCCGAAGGCAGACGCUUAACCAUCUGAGCCACCCAGGCGCCCCAAUAUGAUACAUUUAAAUAACCAACUUAUCCUGGAAAAUACAUUCUGGAGCGAACAAUAAACAUGUUCUCGAAA
Long non-coding RNA from Mirounga angustirostris (Northern elephant seal), 994 nucleotides. RefSeq lists it as uncharacterized. Lineage: Eukaryota; Metazoa; Chordata; Mammalia; Carnivora; Phocidae. The transcript has 5 exons. The record is from RefSeq and is a predicted model, not a curated record.